AGUGAACGCUGGCGGUAGGCCUAACACAUGCAAGUCGAACGGCAGCACAGUAAGAGCUUGCUCUUACGGGUGGCGAGUGGCGGACGGGUGAGGAAUACAUCGGAAUCUACUUUUUCGUGGGGGAUAACGUAGGGAAACUUACGCUAAUACCGCAUACGACCUACGGGUGAAAGCAGGGGAUCUUCGGACCUUGCGCGAUUGAAUGAGCCGAUGUCGGAUUAGCUAGUUGGCGGGGUAAAGGCCCACCAAGGCGACGAUCCGUAGCUGGUCUGAGAGGAUGAUCAGCCACACUAGAACUGAGACACGGUCCAGACUCCUACGGGAGGCAGCAGUGGGGAAUAUUGGACAAUGGGCGCAAGCCUGAUCCAGCCAUACCGCGUGGGUGAAGAAGGCCUUCGGGUUGUAAAGCCCUUUUGUUGGGAAAGAAAAGCAGCAGGUUAAUACCCCGCUGUCCUGACGGUACCCAAAGAAUAAGCACCGGCUAACUUCGUG
RNAcentral lists this ribosomal RNA (492 nucleotides) under uncultured bacterium. Its description in RNAcentral is "partial 16S ribosomal RNA". It matches the Rfam family "Bacterial small subunit ribosomal RNA", at positions 29 to 507 of the family's 1533-position model. The record is from RNAcentral.